GGGAGCUCUCCCAUAUGGUCGACCUGCAGGCGGCCGCGAAUUCACUAGUGAUUAGAGUUUGAUCAUGGCUCAGAACGAACGCUGGCGGCAUGCCUAACACAUGCAAGUCGAACGAAGGCUUCGGCCUUAGUGGCGCACGGGUGCGUAACGCGUGGGAAUCUGCCCCUUGGUUCGGAAUAACAGUUAGAAAUGACUGCUAAUACCGGAUGACGACGUAAGUCCAAAGAUUUAUCGCCGAGGGAUGAGCCCGCGUAGGAUUAGCUAGUUGGUGUGGUAAAGGCGCACCAAGGCGACGAUCCUUAGCUGGUCUGAGAGGAUGAUCAGCCACACUGGGACUGAGACACGGCCCAGACUCCUACGGGAGGCAGCAGUGGGGAAUAUUGGACAAUGGGCGAAAGCCUGAUCCAGCAAUGCCGCGUGAGUGAUGAAGGCCUUAGGGUUGUAAAGCUCUUUUACCCGGGAUGAUAAUGACAGUACCGGGAGAAUAAGCUCCGGCUAACUCCGUGCCAGCAGCCGCGGUAAUACGAAUCGAAUUCCCGCGGCCGCCAUGGCGGCCGCGAGCAUGCGACGUCGG
RNAcentral lists this ribosomal RNA (574 nucleotides) under uncultured Alphaproteobacteria bacterium. Its description in RNAcentral is "bacterial SSU rRNA". It matches the Rfam family "Bacterial small subunit ribosomal RNA", at positions 1 to 578 of the family's 1533-position model. Lineage: Bacteria; Pseudomonadati; Pseudomonadota; Alphaproteobacteria. The record is from RNAcentral.